RNAcentral lists this transfer RNA (71 nucleotides) under bacterium. RNAcentral describes it as "tRNA-Gly". It matches the Rfam family "tRNA". From Rfam's summary of the family: Transfer RNA (tRNA) molecules are approximately 80 nucleotides in length. Their secondary structure includes four short double-helical elements and three loops (D, anti-codon, and T loops). Further hydrogen bonds mediate the characteristic L-shaped molecular structure. tRNAs have two regions of fundamental functional importance: the anti-codon, which is responsible for specific mRNA codon recognition, and the 3' end, to which the tRNAs corresponding amino acid is attached (by aminoacyl-tRNA synthetases). tRNAs cope with the degeneracy of the genetic code in two manners: having more than one tRNA (with a specific anti-codon) for a particular amino acid; and 'wobble' base-pairing, i.e. permitting non-standard base-pairing at the 3rd anti-codon position. The record is from RNAcentral.
GCGGGAAUGGUUUAGUGGUAAAAUAGUUCCUUGCCAAGGAAUAGUCGGGGGUUCGAUUCCCCCUUCCCGCA